AUACGGAGGAUCCGAGCGUUAUCCGGAUUUAUUGGGUUUAAAGGGUGCGCAGGCGGCCAUUUAAGUCAGCGGUUAAAUCGUGGGGCUCAACCCCAUUCUGCCGUUGAUACUGGGUGGCUUGAUUGCGGUCGAGGUUGGCGGAAUUCGUUGUGUAGCGGUGAAAUGCAUAGAUAUGACGAAGAACACCGAUUGCGUAGGCAGCUGACCAGACCGCAAAUGACGCUCAUGCACGAAAGUGCGGGGAUCGAACAGGAUUAGAUACCCUGGUAGUCCGCACAGUAAACGAUGAAUACUUGUUUUCGGCGAUAUAAUGUCGGAGGCAAAGCGAAAGCGAUAAGUAUUCCACCUGGGGAGUACGCCGGCAACGGUGAGACUCAAAGGAAUUGACGUGG
Molecule: ribosomal RNA, 392 nt
Filed under: uncultured bacterium
Lineage: Bacteria
Description: partial 16S ribosomal RNA
Rfam family: Bacterial small subunit ribosomal RNA
Source: RNAcentral